CAUAGCUGGGUAGCUAUGUGUGGACGGGAUAAGUGCUGAAAGCAUCUAAGCAUGAAGCCCCCCUCAAGAUGAGAUUUCCCAACUUCGGUUAUAAGAUCCCUCAAAGAUGAUGAGGUUAAUAGGUUCGAGGUGGAAGCAUGGUGACAUGUGGAGCUGACGAAUACUAAUCGAUCGAAGACUUAAUCAAAA
Molecule: ribosomal RNA, 189 nt
Filed under: Staphylococcus aureus
Lineage: Bacteria; Bacillati; Bacillota; Bacilli; Caryophanales; Staphylococcaceae
Description: partial 23S ribosomal RNA
Rfam family: Bacterial large subunit ribosomal RNA
Source: RNAcentral